RNAcentral lists this ribosomal RNA (116 nucleotides) under Diaphorina citri (Asian citrus psyllid). The record is from RNAcentral. Lineage: Eukaryota; Metazoa; Arthropoda; Insecta; Hemiptera; Psyllidae.
GCCCGCGGCGAUAGCACGUUGAAUUCAUCAGUUAUAUGGACUCACUGAUGUUAAGCAACGUCGCUCGUGGUUGGUAUCCGGAUGGGUGACCAUCUGGGCAAUCGUGUGUCCAAGUU